GAUGAACGCUGGCGGCGUGCCUAAUACAUGCAAGUCGAGCGAACGGACGAGAAGCUUGCUUCUCUGAUGUUAGCGGCGGACGGGUGAGUAACACGUGGAUAACCUACCUAUAAGACUGGGAUAACUUCGGGAAACCGGAGCUAAUACCGGAUGAUAUUUUGAACCGCAUGGUUCAAAAGUGAAAGACGGUCUUGCUGUCACUUAUAGAUGGAUCCGCGCUGCAUUAGCUAGUUGGUAAGGUAACGGCUUACCAAGGCAACGAUGCAUAGCCGACCUGAGAGGGUGAUCGGCCACACUGGAACUGAGACACGGUCCAGACUCCUACGGGAGGCAGCAGUAGGGAAUCUUCCGCAAUGGGCGAAAGCCUGACGGAGCAACGCCGCGUGAGUGAUGAAGGUCUUCGGAUCGUAAAACUCUGUUAUUAGGGAAGAACAUAUGUGUAAGUAACUGUGCACAUCUUGACGGUACCUAAUCAGAAAGCCACGGCUAACUACGUGCCAGCAGCCGCGGUAAUACGUAGGUGGCAAGCGUUAUCCGGAAUUAUUGGGCGUAAAGCGCGCGUAGGCGGUUUUUUAAGUCUGAUGUGAAAGCCCACGGCUCAACCGUGGAGGGUCAUUGGAAACUGGAAAACUUGAGUGCAGAAGAGGAAAGUGGAAUUCCAUGUGUAGCGGUGAAAUGCGCAGAGAUAUGGAGGAACACCAGUGGCGAAGGCGACUUUCUGGUCUGUAACUGACGCUGAUGUGCGAAAGCGUGGGGAUCAAACAGGAUUAGAUACCCUGGUAGUCCACGUCGUAAACGAUGAGUGCUAAGUGUUAGGGGGUUUCCGCCCCUUAGUGCUGCAGCUAACGCAUUAAGCACUCCGCCUGGGGAGUACGACCGCAAGGUUGAAACUCAAAGGAAUUGACGGGGACCCGCACAAGCGGUGGAGCAUGUGGUUUAAUUCGAAGCAACGCGAAGAACCUUACCAAAUCUUGACAUCCUUUGACAACUCUAGAGAUAGAGCCUUCCCCUUCGGGGGACAAAGUGACAGGUGGUGCAUGGUUGUCGUCAGCUCGUGUCGUGAGAUGUUGGGUUAAGUCCCGCAGCGAGCGCAACCCUUAAGCUUAGUUGCCAUCAUUAAGUUGGGCACUCUAAGUUGACUGCCGGUGACAAACCGGAGGAAGGUGGGGAUGACGUCAAAUCAUCAUGCCCCUUAUGAUUUGGGCUACACACGUGCUACAAUGGACAAUACAAAGGGCAGCGAAACCGCGAGGUCAAGCAAAUCCCAUAAAGUUGUUCUCAGUUCGGAUUGUAGUCUGCAACUCGACUACAUGAAGCUGGAGUCGCUAGUAAUCGUAGAUCAGCAUGCUACGGUGAAUACGUUCCCGGGUCU
Molecule: ribosomal RNA, 1372 nt
Filed under: uncultured bacterium
Lineage: Bacteria
Description: bacterial SSU rRNA
Rfam family: Bacterial small subunit ribosomal RNA
Source: RNAcentral